GGCGCUGGGGCAGGGAGGCCUGCUGCAAUCUGCGUCCCAGUGCCGAAGGACGGGAAAAUCGCAGCAGAGGCAACCGCAGAGUGAUCCGAAAGCGCGGGACGAUGCAGUCGGAGCCUCGUUCCGUUCCUCAAAAAGAUGACUGGGAAUUCGGUUAUGACGUGUAAUUGUAAUGGGAGGACUAGGCAUUUUUAACUACUUCCAUCAGAUGGUGCGGUGAGCCGCCCCGCUCUCACAGGGCUCUUUUCAUCACACACACACAGCGGUUCAUCACGUUAGGAUGCGGGGGAACAGCACGUUGCUGUGCCAGGGAAAGGCCAGACUGAAGCGAGGCGGCCAAGAGCUGGGCCUGGUGCCCCGUGCCGGUCAGCGCUGCCCUCCGUAACUGCUGCACCUCCUGCUGGCGCUGAGGAGGUGGGUGGCAUGGCUGGGUGGGCGCUGGGAGCCCCUUCCCACUGAGCUGUUGAUAUCAGUGCCAUUUACAUGCUUUGUAACUUAUUCAUCUUCUGUGACCGCUAGAAAAUGUCUCUGUUUUUUUAAGCCUUAUUUUCACGCAGAGAUCAUCAACUAAUGAAUACAGCAAUACUGGUUAAAAUGAAUACUGAGUCCUUUGUUUAAGAACAUGAAGAUGUUUAUGUUUUCUCUGUCAAGCAAUGAAAAACUCGUGCUGUAUUUUUAUAAGAUAACAGACAGUGAUAUAACUUCAGGAUCGUAUUCAUUUAAAACACAGUUGUGUUUUGUGUCUCUUACUCCCGCUGCAUGUUGACAAACCCUUCAGCGGAUGUGCACAGGGAAUUAAAACAGUGCUGUCCCUUG
Long non-coding RNA from Lagopus leucura (white-tailed ptarmigan), 813 nucleotides. RefSeq lists it as uncharacterized. NCBI's taxonomy places the organism in Eukaryota, Metazoa, Chordata, Aves, Galliformes, Phasianidae. The record is from RefSeq and is a predicted model, not a curated record. The transcript is spliced from 2 exons.